CGUGGCUCUGUGGCUCACUUCCUGUGGUUGUGGCAGCGACAGCGAUGGAGACUGCAGCUCGACAGGAAUGAACUACUUCCUCAAGCCUACCACCAACGUGCUGCUCCAUUGUCUAUCACCGCUGGGCCUUCCUCCUCAGUCAGGCAAACUGGAAGGAACAUGAGAUGGAAUCCGGAGGAUGGCUGCAGCAAUGCGGAUGUAGGAGACCAAGAUGAGUGCACAGGGAGCCAGGAACAGGACCACAGCCCCCAGGAACACAUGCUGAUUGUCAUGUAUGUGAGCAGGCAAUCUUCAUGAGCAGUUGUUCUGCUUCUCUGGCUGAACCCUGACGGAUACAUACCCAUAUGUUGAGGCUUUGCCAGAGGUGACAAGUCUGUUUUCUUUUACAACAUCAGCUUCUCUAAAGUCCUCUGACCCCCAAAGGACUUAUACUUCAAGACUCCCCUACUCUUCUUUCACUGUAAGAUUUUUCCCCUGUCCCUCUACACAUCCUGUCAUCUCUGGCAUUACUAUUUAUGGCCUGAUUCUGCCUUGAAUGACCCUGAAGUCCCCAAGACUCACAUGUGUAAAAAAUUUCUUAGUUUGAUUUUGAUCAGCUCCUAAGAGAGAAUUUCUAGGUGAGAGAAGGAACUGUAAAAACGGUCCAUCAACUGCAUUCUUCAAAAAUGUUGAUGUCAUAAUAGGCACAGAAAUGCUGGGGAACCUUUAUAGAUUCAAGGAGACUAAGGACAUAUAAUAACUAAAUAUAGUAUGAGGUUCUAGACUGGAACAUGUACUGAAAGAAAAGAAUGCUAUAAAGAACAUUUCUGGCUAAAUUGACACAAAUGAAAUACAGACAGUAGAUUAAAUAAAAUUCCAUGUUUCUGUUCAAUUUACCAACAUCGAUAACUAUACUGGGGGUAGGAAACAGAACAUCCUAUUUCUUAGGAAAUACUGAAAUAUUUAGGGGUAAAGGGUAA
This 959-nucleotide long non-coding RNA is filed under the name Homo sapiens (human). Its description in RNAcentral is "HSALNT0331305". The record is from RNAcentral. Lineage: Eukaryota; Metazoa; Chordata; Mammalia; Primates; Hominidae.